CAUUUUCCAUAAAGAUUAGGCUAUGCUAACUUUCAGUACAUAAGACUUGAAGAUACAUUUGGUGUUGUGUCAUUCUCCUCCCCCUUUCAGUCAUCAAUACUGAAGGUUCAGUUCAUUUUAAAGAGCUUCUCAGUAAAGCGAAUUUAUGACAGCAGAGAGCCCUCUCCUCCCAUCACUUUAUGGACGGGCAUGCGCAAAGCAUGGAUCUAUUUCCAUUGUGCUGAGUUGUGGAAAUAAGACAGCUGACAUUAAAGGUUGUUGUUGCUAGAUUUGAGUAUCAGUCUAACCGAUGAAAAAGACAACUGACUAUCAACUGAUAACACAAGAACUUUUCCAUCAGGAUUUGUGGUUAAAUUGAAUCAAAAUGACAGUGGAAGGUCUGGAGUUUCAGUCUAAAGUCCUGCAGCAAAGUGUUUCUGUCUGUCUGUCUCUGCAGUGUGUCCUGGCUGUGACAUUGUGUGUGUCGUGUCUGUUUGGAUUUGCACUGUGCCUCUACGAUUUCUCCAUAAUGAAAUGUCACCUGUCAGUCAAAACUGGGCUUAUUAAGUAUAUACUGUCCAAGUGUGUGUGUGACUAUGUACUUGUGUGUGUAUGUGUGUGACACCAUAGAGACUGACAGCUGGGCUGAGGUGUCACACUACAAGCUUUCUUUUCAGCCCCAGCGGUCCCACUUUGUAACAGCUCACCUGGAUGACAAGGCUCGAGGUGAUGUCAGCGACUGUAGCAAUACAAGUCAAAUUCA
Sander lucioperca (pikeperch) is the source of this 742-nucleotide long non-coding RNA. RefSeq lists it as uncharacterized. Lineage: Eukaryota; Metazoa; Chordata; Actinopteri; Perciformes; Percidae. The transcript has 2 exons. The record is from RefSeq and is a predicted model, not a curated record.